AAAAAGGGAUAAAUAGAAUAAAUAAGAAUAAGAAUACAAAGGAAUUGCAAGUAUUUCAAGUAUUUCAAGUAUUGAAGUCUAUUGCACCGUUGGUUUUUAACAAAAAGUAUUGCACAGUGAAAAGGGAGUAGUAGUCUUUUUAGCAGUCACUUGUAUUAUUUACAUAAUCCUGAUUUUGGUCCUGCUGGAUCUGUCUCAAGGCGUUCAGGGCAUCAGUCAUGUUUGAUGAGUGUACAUUGUCUGAUGUGUGUGUGUGUGUGUGUGUGUGUGUUGUGAGAUUCAGAAGGACGCGGCCCCUCUUCUUGUUAGGGAGCGCAGAUAAAAGUAUCCAGCUGUCCUCUUCCUGCU
Oreochromis aureus is the source of this 348-nucleotide long non-coding RNA. RefSeq lists it as uncharacterized. NCBI's taxonomy places the organism in Eukaryota, Metazoa, Chordata, Actinopteri, Cichliformes, Cichlidae. The record is from RefSeq and is a predicted model, not a curated record. The transcript is spliced from 2 exons.